UACAGAGGGGGCAAGCGUUGUUCGGAAUUACUGGGCGUAAAGGGCGCGUAGGCGGCCUGUUAAGUCGGACGUGAAAUCCCUCGGCUCAACCGGGGAACUGCGUCCGAUACUGGAAGGCUUGAAUCCGGGAGAGGGAUGCGGAAUUCCAGGUGUAGCGGUGAAAUGCGUAGAUAUCUGGAGGAACACCGGUGGCGAAGGCGGCGUCCUGGACCAACACUGACACUGAUGAGCGAAAGCCAUGGGAGCAAACGGG
Molecule: ribosomal RNA, 253 nt
Filed under: uncultured bacterium
Lineage: Bacteria
Description: partial 16S ribosomal RNA
Rfam family: Bacterial small subunit ribosomal RNA
Source: RNAcentral